Molecule: ribosomal RNA, 256 nt
Filed under: uncultured bacterium
Lineage: Bacteria
Description: partial 16S ribosomal RNA
Rfam family: Bacterial small subunit ribosomal RNA
Source: RNAcentral
GCAAGUAGAACGCUGAAGGAGGAGCUUGCUUCUCUGGAUGAGUUGCGAACGGGUGAGUAACGCGUAGGUAACCUGCCUGGUAGCGGGGGAUAACUAUUGGAAACGAUAGCUAAUACCGCAUAAGAGCAGUUGUUGCAUGACAGCUGUUUAAAAGGUGCAAUUGCACCACUACCAGAUGGACCUGCGUUGUAUUAGCUAGUUGGUGAGGUAACGGCUCACCAAGGCGACGAUACAUAGCCGACCUGAGAGGGUGAUC